RNAcentral lists this ribosomal RNA (1969 nucleotides) under human gut metagenome. RNAcentral's name for it is "bacterial LSU rRNA". It matches the Rfam family "Bacterial large subunit ribosomal RNA", at positions 1 to 1991 of the family's 2925-position model. The record is from RNAcentral.
GAAAGUAAGCAAGGGCAGACGGUGGAUGCCUUGGCUCUCGGAGGCGACGAAGGACGUGAUAAGCUGCGAAAAGCCCGGGGGAGGCGCAAAUAGCCCUUGAUCCCGGGAUAUCCGAAUGGGGCAACCCGGCAGGCUGAAGGCCUGCCAUCCCGAAAGGGAGGCGAACGUGGGGAACUGAAACAUCUAAGUACCCAUAGGAGGAGAAAAUAAACAAUGAUUCCGUAAGUAGUGGCGAGCGAACACGGAAGAGCCCAAACCCAUGUCGUCUAGGCGACACGGGGGUUGUAGGACCACGACGUGGCAAGAAGGAAGGGAAAUGGAACGACUUGGAAAAGUCGGCCAUAGACGGUGAAAGCCCGGUACAUGACUCCCUUACGAAGCCUAGUGGUAUCCUGAGUAGCGCGGGGCACGAGAAAUCUUGCGUGAAUUAGCGGGGCCCAUCCCGUAAGGCUAAAUACUCCCGAGAGACCGAUAGCGAACCAGUACCGUGAGGGAAAGGUGAAAAGAACCCCGAGCAGGGGAGUGAAAUAGACCCUGAACCCGUCUGCCUACAAGCGGUCGGAGCGUCGUAAUGACGUGACGGCGUGCCUUUUGCAUAAUGAACCUACGAGUUACCUUCCCCGGCAAGGUUAAGUACCUAAGGUACGGAGCCGAAGCGAAAGCGAGUCUGAACAGGGCGCCAAGUCGGGGGGGGUAGACGCGAAACCGAGUGAUCUACCCUUGGCCAGGUUGAAGGUUGGGUAACACCAACUGGAGGACCGGAUGGGUAAGCGUUGAAAAGCUUUCCAAUGAGCUGAGGGUAGGGGUGAAAGGCUAAUCAAACUCGGAGAUAGCUCGUACUCCCCGAAAUGCAUUUAGGUGCAGCCUCUUUAUAGUAUAUCGUGAGGUAGAGCGACUGAUUGGAUGCGAGGGCUUCACCGCCUAUCAAGUCCAGAUAAACUCCGAAUGCGCGAUAUAUAUUUACAGGGAGUGAGGGCGCGGGUGCUAAGGUCCGUGUCCGAGAGGAGAAGAAUCCAGACCACCGGCUAAGGCCCCCAAAUGAUCGUUAAGUUGAACUAACGAGGUCGGAUCGCAGAGACAGCUAGGAUGUUGGCUUGGAAGCAGCCAUUCAUUUAAAGAGUGCGUAACAGCUCACUAGUCGAGCGAUCUGGCGUGGAUAAUAAUCGGGCAUAAACGAUCUGCCGAAGCCGUGGAUGUCGCAAGACAUGGUAGGGGAGCAUUCCAUGCCGCGUCGAAGAUGAGGGAUGACCCUUGUUGGAGCGCAUGGAAAAGCAAAUGUAGGUAUGAGUAACGAUAAGGGGGGCGAGAAACCCCCCCGCCGAAAGACCAAGGUUUCCUGAUCAACGCUAAUCGGAUCAGGGUGAGUCGGGACCUAAGGCAAAGCCGAACGGCGCCGCCGAUGGAAGAAUGGGUUAAUAUUCCCAUACUGCCUCAUGGAGUGACGUGGAGACGGAGAAGUGACAGUCCUGCCGGCUGACGGAAUAGCCGGUUGAAGGGUGUAGAUAUUGAUUCCCGUAGGCAAAUCCGCGGGGAGAGUCGAACCUGAGAGUAUACGGAGCGCUUGCGCAACGUAAUAUGGACGUAACCAUGCUCCCGAGAAAAUCCGCUAAACUUAUCCAUGCGGCACCCGUACCGUAAACGGACACACGUGGUCGGGUUGAGAAUACUGAGGCGCUCGAGUGAUUCACGGUUAAGGAACUAGGCAAAUUGACCCUGUAACUUCGGGAUAAAGGGUCCUCGUCGUAAGGCGAGGCGCAGAGAAUAGGUCCAGGCAACUGUUUAACAAAAACACAUGGCUGUGCUAAAUGGAAACAUGAUGUAUACAGCCUGACACCUGCCCGGUGCCGGAAGGUUAAGAGGAGAUGUCAUCCGCGAGGAGAAGCGUUGAAUUGAAGCCCCGGUAAACGGCGGCCGUAACUAUAACGGUCCUAAGGUAGCGAAAUUCCUUGUCGGGUAAGUUCCGACCUGC